Molecule: non-coding RNA, 108 nt
Organism: Acanthosepion pharaonis
Lineage: Eukaryota; Metazoa; Mollusca; Cephalopoda; Sepiida; Sepiidae
Source: the annotation of a GenBank genome assembly
AUAGAGAUGUUUAAACACUGGUUCCCAUAUUACCACCAAAGUUAAGCAAUGUCGAGCCUAGUUAGUACCUAGAUGGGUGACUGCUUUAGAAUACCAGGUGCUGCAAGC